This 726-nucleotide ribosomal RNA is filed under the name uncultured bacterium. RNAcentral's name for it is "bacterial SSU rRNA". It matches the Rfam family "Bacterial small subunit ribosomal RNA", at positions 789 to 1515 of the family's 1533-position model. The record is from RNAcentral.
GGUAGUCCACGCCGUAAACGAUGUCGACUUGGAGGUUGUGCCCUUGAGGCGUGGCUUCCGGAGCUAACGCGUUAAGUCGACCGCCUGGGGAGUACGGCCGCAAGGUUAAAACUCAAAUGAAUUGACGGGGGCCCGCACAAGCGGUGGAGCAUGUGGUUUAAUUCGAUGCAACGCGAAGAACCUUACCUACUCUUGACAUCCAGAGAACUUAGCAGAGAUGCUUUGGUGCCUUCGGGAACUCUGAGACAGGUGCUGCAUGGCUGUCGUCAGCUCGUGUUGUGAAAUGUUGGGUUAAGUCCCGCAACGAGCGCAACCCUUAUCCUUUGUUGCCAGCGGUUNGGCCGGGAACUCAAAGGAGACUGCCAGUGAUAAACUGGAGGAAGGUGGGGAUGACGUCAAGUCAUCAUGGCCCUUACGAGUAGGGCUACACACGUGCUACAAUGGCGCAUACAAAGAGAAGCGACCUCGCGAGAGCAAGCGGACCUCAUAAAGUGCGUCGUAGUCCGGAUUGGAGUCUGCAACUCGACUCCAUGAAGUCGGAAUCGCUAGUAAUCGUAGAUCAGAAUGCUACGGUGAAUACGUUCCCGGGCCUUGUACACACCGCCCGUCACACCAUGGGAGUGGGUUGCAAAAGAAGUAGGUAGCUUAACCUUCGGGAGGGCGCUUACCACUUUGUGAUUCAUGACUGGGGUGAAGUCGUAACAAGGUAACCGUAGGGGAACCUGC